UCCGGCGUGGUCUAGCAGCUAGGAUACCUGGCUCUCACCCAGGAGGCCCGGGUUCGAUUCCCGGCGUCAGAA
This 72-nucleotide transfer RNA is filed under the name Ixodes scapularis (black-legged tick). It matches the Rfam family "tRNA". From Rfam's summary of the family: Transfer RNA (tRNA) molecules are approximately 80 nucleotides in length. Their secondary structure includes four short double-helical elements and three loops (D, anti-codon, and T loops). Further hydrogen bonds mediate the characteristic L-shaped molecular structure. tRNAs have two regions of fundamental functional importance: the anti-codon, which is responsible for specific mRNA codon recognition, and the 3' end, to which the tRNAs corresponding amino acid is attached (by aminoacyl-tRNA synthetases). tRNAs cope with the degeneracy of the genetic code in two manners: having more than one tRNA (with a specific anti-codon) for a particular amino acid; and 'wobble' base-pairing, i.e. permitting non-standard base-pairing at the 3rd anti-codon position. The record is from Rfam by way of RNAcentral. Lineage: Eukaryota; Metazoa; Arthropoda; Arachnida; Ixodida; Ixodidae.